Molecule: long non-coding RNA, 1211 nt
Organism: Hippocampus comes (tiger tail seahorse)
Lineage: Eukaryota; Metazoa; Chordata; Actinopteri; Syngnathiformes; Syngnathidae
Exons: 2
Source: RefSeq, a predicted model, not a curated record
UUCUACUCUCUAUCCGAAAUGCCUGGUUUGUUGUUUUAUCUGCAUGAUUCGUAAGAGCAAGUCGCGAUUGCUUUUUAAAAUUUUUUUUUUUUAAUUCAGAAGGUUCAGGAAAGUCGUUAAGACUUGGGAUGAGUCCUCCUUGAACUUAAAUGAGAGUCGGGCAUUUUAUGAGAUAACGUAAAAACUCAAAAUUAAAAAAAACAAAGAAAUGACUGUAAAGUAAAAAUAACGUUAUGAAUUACACCAUUCGAAAUGACAAUAUUUUUCUUAAGUAUGAUCGUGUGUAUUUAUAUGUGUGUAUAUGUAUUUACAUAUAGAGUAUAUAUUGACACGUACGUGUACAGCGAUCUAAAAAUCACGCCGCGCGCUAAAUGACCGCCGCUGUUGCUUAAAGCUGCCAUUUACUUCCAUGGUGAUUUUUAGACGCUCAUCACCGUUUUGUUUCUAAAGGCAAAUUUUCAUUUGAAAUAAGUGGGCAAGGCGUUGGGGUGUCGACAUCUUACAAAUUCCAUUGACAAACCCAUGACGUUCUCAUGAGCAUUUGUAGCAGGCGGAUUGGCUUAUUGUAAAACCGACUCAUCAAAUAAAAAGAGAAUUAAUAAGGUGUUGACUCCAACCAUGUAACUUCAUUUAACAAAAUUGUGCUUGCUUAACAAACAAAAAAAAGCAAAAAAAAAACAAAAAACCAUAGGCGGGCUAAUGGAAAUUUAAAAAAAAAAGUUUGUCCAAAUUUUUAAAAUUCAAUUAUCACAGGCGUAAAAAUAGGGAAAAAACACGCACUAGGGUUGACAUCAUCCCCAAAAAUUUGUCCAUCCUUCAGCGAAGGCCCAAACAAUAAACGAAUACAUCAAUAUGCGAAGCCUCGUCUUGCAAACAAGGAUUGGCCCCCUUGGACCCGCGGAGAACUCUCUUGUUUGUGCGUGCGUGCGCGUACAGUGGCAGUUGGUCGCCAUACCAGGAUGGCCCUGAGGCUUAUUUGCUGAGAAAUGCCGGCUGCCUCGCGGCCGAGGACGGCAACAAAAUACAAAACAAUAAAUGGGAACUGUCAACAGAAAUGCAGAACUUCCUUUCAAACAAUGGCACAGUGUUGCCGCGUUGCCGGUUGACCACAAUAACGUUUUACCGACAAAAGAGUCAAAUCCUCAAAAAAAAGUCUCAUAAAGAGAGCGGACGUGGAAUCGACAUCUUCCGAUUCUUAGAAUAAGCAAAAA